GAUGAAGAACGUAGCGAAAUGCGAUAAGUAAUGUGAAUUGCAGAAUUCAGUGAAUCAUCGAAUCUUUGAACGCACCUUGCACCCUUUGGCAUUCUGAAGGGUAUGCUCGUUUGAGUGUCAUUGUACUCUCACACUCCCGAUCUUUGCAUUGGGAGCAGUGGACUUGGGUUUGCUGCUUCACCGUCGCUUACCUCAAAUAGGUUAGUGCAACUCUUGGUUGGACAUAGUACGGCGUGAUAAGUGUUCUUCGCCGGUGCCUCGCAAAGAGGGUGGCCGAUCGGGAUGUUGUGCUCCAAACCGUCUUCGGACAAUCUCUGACGACUUGACCUCAUAUCGAGUAAGACUACCCGCUGAACUUAAGCAUAUCAAUAAGCGGAGGA
Molecule: unclassified non-coding RNA, 380 nt
Filed under: soil metagenome
Description: partial contains 5.8S ribosomal RNA, internal transcribed spacer 2, and large subunit ribosomal RNA
Rfam family: 5.8S ribosomal RNA (bases 1-120)
Source: RNAcentral